Molecule: RNase P RNA, 404 nt
Filed under: Deltaproteobacteria bacterium
Lineage: Bacteria; Pseudomonadati; Myxococcota; Myxococcia
Also listed under: 1 other name
Description: RNase P RNA component class A
Rfam family: Bacterial RNase P class A
About the family: Ribonuclease P (RNase P) is a ubiquitous endoribonuclease, found in archaea, bacteria and eukarya as well as chloroplasts and mitochondria. Its best characterised activity is the generation of mature 5'-ends of tRNAs by cleaving the 5'-leader elements of precursor-tRNAs. Cellular RNase Ps are ribonucleoproteins.
Source: RNAcentral
GCGGCCGGACGGGCAGUCGCGGGCCCGGUGCGUCCCCCAGGGGGGAUACGGCCGGCGUCCGAGGCAAAGUCCGGUCUCCACAGGGCAGCGUGCCGGCUAACGGCCGGGGGGGCGCGCUCAAAGCGCGCUUCACGGAAAGUGCCACAGAAAACAGACCGCCGGCCGCGGCAACGCGGCAGGCAAGGGUGAAAAGGUGCGGUAAGAGCGCACCGCGUUCCGGGUAACCGGAAUGGCAGGGUAAACCCCACGCGGAGCAAGACCAAAUAGGGGAGGAUGGAGUGGCCCGCUCCGCCUGACUCCCGGGUAGGUCGCUGGAGCCCGUCAGCAAUGGCGGGCCUAGAGGAAUGACUGCCGCCCGGCCGCAAGGCCGGGUCCAGAAACCGGCUUACAGUCCGGCCGCUCCC